This 468-nucleotide ribosomal RNA is filed under the name uncultured bacterium. RNAcentral describes it as "partial 16S ribosomal RNA". It matches the Rfam family "Bacterial small subunit ribosomal RNA", at positions 28 to 507 of the family's 1533-position model. The record is from RNAcentral.
GACGGACGCUGGCGGCGUGCUUAACACAUGCAAGUCGAACGGAAAGGCCCUGCUUUUGUGGGGUGCUCGAGUGGCGAACGGGUGAGUAACACGUGAGUAACCUGCCCUUGACUUUGGGAUAACUUCAGGAAACUGGGGCUAAUACCGGAUAGGAGCUCCUGCUGCAUGGUGGGGGUUGGAAAGUUUCGGCGGUUGGGGAUGGACUCGCGGCUUAUCAGCUUGUUGGUGGGGUAGUGGCUUACCAAGGCUUUGACGGGUAGCCGGCCUGAGAGGGUGACCGGCCACAUUGGGACUGAGAUACGGCCCAGACUCCUACGGGAGGCAGCAGUGGGGAAUAUUGCACAAUGGGCGGAAGCCUGAUGCAGCAACGCCGCGUGCGGGAUGACGGCCUUCGGGUUGUAAACCGCUUUCGCCUGUGACGAAGCGUAAGUGACGGUAAUGGGUAAAGAAGCACCGGCUAACUACGUG